RNAcentral lists this ribosomal RNA (687 nucleotides) under Triticum aestivum (bread wheat). RNAcentral's name for it is "partial small subunit ribosomal RNA". Lineage: Eukaryota; Viridiplantae; Streptophyta; Magnoliopsida; Poales; Poaceae. The record is from RNAcentral.
AUGGGUCUUUUUGUUGACUGUCGAGUUGGACGCCGGGUGUCGAGCGCAUCCAGGUCGAGGGCGCUUAGCCCAUGGCCUCCUCAUUUCCAGCAGCUCCCCUACGACCACUACGAUCGUGUGCUUGGGGUUGCCGUGGAGUUUGGUGGCCUCCCGUCAUGUCUAGCACGCGUCGUCCUCUUCUCCAUCAACGAGGCAGCAUCGGCACAGCGCCAGAAGGAUGGGGAAAGCGGUGCAUUUGUGUUGCAGUUCGCCGGAGACUGGAGUGCAGCUCAGUUGGGCGGCCCGUGCGGCUCGGCCAGCUUUUCGCUGGAUGCGAUUCAGGUGCUGCCUGCCAGCGUCGCACCGGAGCGCGUCUCCGUUGUCCCCGGCGGCAGCGGCAGCGCCAUGAAGCACGACGACGACAAGUGGAAGGCGGCCACGAAGCACUACAAGGCCCUGUUGCCCGCGUUGUGGAGCGACAAGGUGCGAAACGUCAUGGACAUGAGCACCAUCUACGGAGGGUUCACGGCCAGCCUUGUCAAGGACCCCGUGUGUGUCAUGAACGUGGUCUCCUCCUACGGGCCCUACUCCCUCGGCAUCGUCUACGACAGAGGACUCAUCGGCACCAACCCACACAUUACCUCUUCUCCCAACUGCAUCCUGCUCGCCGUCAGAUGUUUAGCAUUCCCGUUACUAGAAUUGAAUUAA